AACGAACGCUGGCGGCAUGCCUAACACAUGCAAGUCGAACGAGACCUUCGGGUCUAGUGGCGCACGGGUGCGUAACGCGUGGGAACCUGCCUUUAGGUUCGGAAUAACUCAGAGAAAUUUGAGCUAAUACCGGAUGAUGUCUUCGGACCAAAGAUUUAUCGCCUUUAGAUGGGCCCGCGUUGGAUUAGCUAGUUGGUGGGGUAAAGGCCUACCAAGGCGACGAUCCAUAGCUGGUCUGAGAGGAUGAUCAGCCACACUGGGACUGAGACACGGCCCAGACUCCUACGGGAGGCAGCAGUGGGGAAUAUUGGACAAUGGGCGAAAGCCUGAUCCAGCAAUGCCGCGUGAGUGAUGAAGGCCUUAGGGUUGUAAAGCUCUUUUACCCGAGAUGAUGAUGACAGUAUCGGGAGAAUAAGCUCCGGCUAACUCCGUG
RNAcentral lists this ribosomal RNA (433 nucleotides) under uncultured bacterium. Its description in RNAcentral is "partial 16S ribosomal RNA". It matches the Rfam family "Bacterial small subunit ribosomal RNA", at positions 29 to 507 of the family's 1533-position model. The record is from RNAcentral.